Molecule: ribosomal RNA, 812 nt
Filed under: uncultured bacterium
Lineage: Bacteria
Description: bacterial SSU rRNA
Rfam family: Bacterial small subunit ribosomal RNA
Source: RNAcentral
UCAGGAAANUCUGGAGUAAAAGGCUAUGGCUCAACCAUAGUGUGCUCUGGAAACUNUCUGACUUGAGUGCAGAAGGGGAGAGUGGAAUUCCAUGUGUAGCGGUGAAAUGCGUAGAUAUAUGGAGGANCACCAGUGGCGAAAGCGGCUCUCUGNUCUGUCACUGACGCUGAGGCUCGAAAGCGUGGGUAGCGAACAGGAUUAGAUACCCUGGUAGUNCACGCCGUAAACGAUGAGUGCUAGGUGUUAGGCCCUUUCCGGGGCUUAGUGCCGGAGCUAACGCAAUAAGCACUCCGCCUGGGGAGUACGACCGCAAGGUUGAAACUCAAAGGAAUUGACGGGGGCCCGCACAAGCGGUGGAGCAUGUGGUUUAAUUCGAAGCAACGCGAAGAACCUUACCAGGUCUUGACAUCCCGAUGCUAUUCUUAGAGAUAGGAAGUUACUUCGGUACAUCGGAGACAGGUGGUGCAUGGUUGUCGUCAGCUCGUGUCGUGAGAUGUUGGGUUAAGUCCCGCAACGAGCGCAACCCUUAUUGUUAGUUGCCAUCAUUAAGUUGGGCACUCUAGCGAGACUGCCGGUAAUAAACCGGAGGAAGGUGGGGAUGACGUCAAAUCAUCAUGCCCCUUAUGACCUGGGCUACACACGUGCUACAAUGGUCGGUACAACGAGUUGCGAGCCGGUGACGGCAAGCUAAUCUCUGAAAGCCGAUCUCAGUUCGGAUUGGAGGCUGCAACUCGCCUCCAUGAAGUCGGAAUCGCUAGUAAUCGCGGAUCAGCACGCCGCGGUGAAUACGUUCCCGGGCCUUGUACACACCG